RNAcentral lists this long non-coding RNA (444 nucleotides) under Ursus maritimus (polar bear). RNAcentral describes it as "lncRNA (ENSUMAG00000010848.1)". The record is from RNAcentral. Lineage: Eukaryota; Metazoa; Chordata; Mammalia; Carnivora; Ursidae.
CCACCACUGCCUGUCAGGGUCCCAGAGAGGCUCCAGGGAGCAGCAGAGGCCAGGGCACAGCCCCUUGAGGAGCCAGCCCAGGAAGAGGGGAGCAGCAGUUGUUCAGGGGCCCAGUUCAAGUGCCGCCUCCUCCAAGAAGCCUCCGGUCCUAGCCUGCCCUCUGCGAACCCCCAGGAGUCGGGAGUCGAUGGGAGCGCAUGCCUCCCUCUGUGCGCACCCACCUGGAAGGCUCAGCUCCACGGGGCAGUGAUGUGUAUUUUGUCAUCAGCGGAGUAGCCCUGUGUCCUCCAACCCCAACGAGAGGGGCGGAGGACCAGGAGGAAGAGCGGCAGGACCAUGAACAACAGUACCUGUCUGUCCGAAGAGCUCAUCUGGCCCCCCUCGGUCAGGUACGUCCUCUCCACCUACACGGCGGUGCUGCUGGGGCUGGGCCUGAUGCUCAAC